CUUAGUGAUGGGGACAUGGUACCUUAGGAGUCCAGUGAGCAAAAGAAGGAACCUCUGAUUGUGCUUCUCAUUUGUCCCCCAAACCCAACAGGUUCUGUUUGGAUUCUGCAAAGCAGACUCGUCAGAAAGUUGCUGUGAACUGGACCAACUUCAGCCUCAAGAAAACCACUCCUAGCACAGCUCAGUGAGGCCCUGCCCAGGCUGAGCUUCUUCAGGGCGUCCUGAGGCCCCGACUGCCAGCUGAAGGCCUACAAUUUUUCCCUCCGUGUGCCCCACCCACCCGUCCAAGACCCUCUCUGCUCCCCACCAUCCUGGACCAACCAAAAGCUGAACGGAUGCCACACUGUGCUGGGGCCCCUUGACCUCAGCAGAGCCGCUUCCUGGUGCUACGCAGCCUCCACACUCAGAGCCCGUGGACUGGGCUGGCCUAAGGGCCAGGGCUGAUGGUACUGCUGGCCCAACACUGCUCUCUUUGUGUUUGGUUUUUUUGUUUUUGUUUUUAUUUUUUUCCAAUUCUUUACUUUUGAUACUGUGAAGAUCUUUCGUGCCGAAAGAUAAAGCAACAUUUGGACACA
RNAcentral lists this small RNA (575 nucleotides) under Pongo abelii (Sumatran orangutan). RNAcentral's name for it is "retained intron". The record is from RNAcentral. Lineage: Eukaryota; Metazoa; Chordata; Mammalia; Primates; Hominidae.